GGCACAACAAAGGCGGCGGGCGACGCGUCCCGGGCGGGCUCCGCAGAUUAUGUUAUAACCUAUGAUCACAGAAAGUCCUGAUCCUCACGUUUCUCUGCUGUCACCUGUGGGCUCCUCCAGAGCCGUGAAGAAGGGGGAACUCCAGCCCCACCAUGACAAGACCGGGUCUUCCGUGCAUGGCGACUCCACCCAUGUGAGAGCUCUCUUAUGUGAGUCCUCAGCAGCACAUUGUGCUGUCUGUGGUCUGUGGACACUGACUGCCAUCUAAGCAACACCACAGCUCCCUCCUCUCCCCCUAGACGCCACUGUCUUAGAGCCUCCAUGUGCAUUUGCUAUGACAUACAUCAGUGUUGAUGAGAGACAGGAACACUGCCGGGUGAUCUCGAGCUGCCAAAAUAAUCAGCUCUGUGCACAACAUGGCUUAAAGGAUUUUUCGGUUAGCAGCAUGCAUCCACUAAAGAACCUAGACACUCACAUUUUUUCUGGGGACUUCCACACUCUAGACUACUGCCACACGGGCAGGGCACCUUUGGCCGGUCCUGUGGAAAACCGGAUGUAUCGGAGCGUGGAGAACCUUCACUGGGCAACUGUUGCCGACUCUGGGCUGUAUUCUCACUGCCGGAGCCUGGAUAACGAGAUCAUCUUUCGCUAUAGAGGCACCAGUCAGUGGACAGAAGGCUGUGUGGAUGUGGCCCCAGUACAGAGCACGUCGGACUCUCCAAGAGACCUUUCUCUCCGUGCUAAACAGACGUCUCAAUCGGCACAGAACGUGCUCUUCCCUCCCUUUGCCAAAGUGCCUCAGUGGCUCUUCCCUUCUGCAGAGGAAAGAGCCCUACAUGGGGAUGCCAGAAAAGAGCUGAAGGAGAAGCUGAGGCUGCACAGCAGUAAGGUGGCAGAGCCCUGUAAGCCAGUGCGUCCCCAGGUGGCCCUGCCUGACCUGAUGGCCCGGGAGUUCUUUGAGUGCCAGGUGUGUCGGCAGUGCAAGAACGGUUGUGCUGUCAACUACUGCACGGUGUUGGUGGAACACACUGCCCUCAGGCGCGGCCUCACAGGGAGACAGGGACUGUGCUUUGCACACAGGAUCAUCAGUCCAGAAGACAUCAAGCAGGAGGCUCAGAGGAGGCUUCAGCUCCGAAGGCAGAAUAGCUCCCCCAGUUUGCCCCUUCAGCUCACAGGGGAAAGCCAUGAGAUGGGCAAAUCCAGAACAGCAGAAACCCUAGAACAAUACAGUGGGGAAACAGAUGGCAAAGUCACAUUGGGACAGAGCAAGAAAGGUCGCUGUAAAGGGAGGCUCUACAUACCCACCUUUGAGGAAUUUAAGCAGAUGAGAAGAAAGGAAGGAAAUUCAUCUGCCAGCAGCAGUGAGACAACAGAGUGCUUGAAUAAGGGUUUGCCUGCAAACCAGACACUGGAGAAGGAAAAGAAUGUCUGUCCAGAAGCUUUGGGGACCAGAGCUGUCAAUGAAUCUGCUGUCACAGUGGAGGAUGAUGACGAUGUAUUCCACGAAAACCACACCUCUGCUGGCUUUUCCCAGUAUCCAGCCACAUGGGAUGGUUUCAGGAUGAGCAGUCCUGAGCUGAAGGACAAAACCUUCCAUACCUCUAGCCCAGAUACAUCGCCAGUCCCUAUUUGCUCCAGUCCAAUUCCACGAUCACCUUUACAGGCAGUAGCAAUACACAGAACUGGGCAGGAGAUCUUGAGUGAUGAGCAGCAGAAAGGAGAGACAAGAAAAUUAAAUGAUGUCCUCCACCUUGCAGGGCAGUCCCUGGCUUCUGAAGCCCAGUCCUCUUGCUGUUCAUCGCUGCUGUUAGAAGCUACAGACUUAUCCAGCUAUGGAGCUAAGCUACAAAAAAUGAAGGAUGAAUUCAUAGGUUCAGCCUUGGAACUUAUUAAGAAAAGGCUGGGCAGUAGAGACCUGGAGGGUGACAACAAAAAGUGAAAGCUGUGAGCCUGCUGUUGGCACUGUUGGC
This 1970-nucleotide long non-coding RNA is filed under the name Manacus vitellinus (golden-collared manakin). Its description in RNAcentral is "lncRNA (ENSMVIG00005001770.1)". The record is from RNAcentral. Lineage: Eukaryota; Metazoa; Chordata; Aves; Passeriformes; Pipridae.